This 584-nucleotide ribosomal RNA is filed under the name Aureobasidium pullulans. RNAcentral describes it as "partial large subunit ribosomal RNA". It matches the Rfam family "Eukaryotic large subunit ribosomal RNA", at positions 70 to 670 of the family's 3401-position model. Lineage: Eukaryota; Fungi; Ascomycota; Dothideomycetes; Dothideales; Saccotheciaceae. The record is from RNAcentral.
AGGGAUUGCCCUAGUACGGCGAGUGAAGCGGCAACAGCUCAAAUUUGAAAGCUAGCCUUCGGGUUCGCAUUGUAAUUUGUAGAGGAUGAUUUGGGGAAGCCGCCUGUCUAAGUUCCUUGGAACAGGACGUCAUAGAGGGUGAGAAUCCCGUAUGUGACAGGAAAUGGCACCCUAUGUAAAUCUCCUUCGACGAGUCGAGUUGUUUGGGAAUGCAGCUCUAAAUGGGAGGUAAAUUUCUUCUAAAGCUAAAUAUUGGCGAGAGACCGAUAGCGCACAAGUAGAGUGAUCGAAAGAUGAAAAGCACUUUGGAAAGAGAGUUAAAAAGCACGUGAAAUUGUUGAAAGGGAAGCGCUUGCAAUCAGACUUGUUUAAACUGUUCGGCCGGUCUUCUGACCGGUUUACUCAGUUUGGACAGGCCAGCAUCAGUUUCGGCGGCCGGAUAAAGGCUCUGGGAAUGUGGCCUCCACUUCGGUGGAGGUGUUAUAGCCCAGGGUGUAAUACGGCCAGCCGGGACUGAGGUCCGCGCUUCGGCUAGGAUGCUGGCGUAAUGGUUGUAAGCGACCCGUCUUGAAACACGGACCAAC